This 447-nucleotide ribosomal RNA is filed under the name uncultured bacterium. RNAcentral describes it as "SSU rRNA". It matches the Rfam family "Bacterial small subunit ribosomal RNA", at positions 26 to 518 of the family's 1533-position model. The record is from RNAcentral.
AGAGCGAACGCUGGCGGCAGGCCUAACACAUGCAAGUCGAGCGCCCGUAGCAAUACGGGAGCGGCAGACGGGAUAGUAACACGUGGGAACGCGCCCUUCGGUUCGGAAUAACUCAGGGAAACUUGAGCUAAUACCGGAUACGCCCUUACGGGGAAAGAUUUAUUGCCGAAGGAACGGCCCGCGUCCGAUUAGCUGGUUGGUGAGGUAAUGGCUCACCAAGGCGACGAUCGGUAGCUGGUCUGAGAGGAUGACCAGCAUCACUGGGACUGAGACACGGCCCAGACUCCUACGGGAGGCAGCAGUGGGGAAUAUUGGACAAUGGGCGCAAGCCUGAUCCAGCCAUGCCGCGUGGAUGAUGAAGGCCUUAGGGUUGUAAAGUCCUUUUAACGGGGAAGAUAAUGACGGUACCCGUAGAAUAAGCCCGGCUAACUUCGUGCCAGCAGCCGC